Molecule: RNA transcript, 2142 nt
Organism: Osmia bicornis bicornis
Lineage: Eukaryota; Metazoa; Arthropoda; Insecta; Hymenoptera; Megachilidae
Gene name: protein Ycf2-like
Exons: 8
Source: RefSeq, a predicted model, not a curated record
AAUUCUAAUGUCUAUAUUCAUAAUUUAAUCAGUAAAUAAAUUGAAUCAUACAUAAAAUGCAUCUUCAAAAAUAUAUACAUUUUUCAAAUAUAUGAAAACAAAAGAAACGCGAAAGUUAGUAAGAACCUUGAACAAGAAAACUUUUAGUUUGAGUCACUAGGGAUUUUUACAUUAUGUCAACACUUAUAAGGUCAUUAUAAAUCAAAUAAUUGUUGAGGCGGCACAGUGUUCGAUAUUUUUAAGAUUUUAAUUUGUUUGUUGUGUUUAUCCGUUUGUAUAAAAGCCCAGAUACAUUUUCUGGUGAAAGAUGUCUGGCGAUGUACAAACAAGAAAACGAAAAGAGAAGAAACGUAAAAAGGAUGAGGAAGAGAAUGUCGUACCUCCCCCUCCUUCUGCAAAUGUUACUGAAAAUUUAACAGAUAACAUAACUUUACAUAUUUAUAAAGAGAGUAGUACCGGUGGGCAUUGGUGUGUCCGGAUUAUAUUUUUCGUAAUAUUGGCAAUACUCGUUGGUUUAAUUGGUGUAAUUAUCUUGGAACAUAGAGGUGUUACGGAUACUGAUACACCGUUAGAAUCAUCACGAUGGGCCUUUAUUUUCGAUGGGUGGGUGGAUGAUUCUUUAUUUUUAUAUAAAGACGAAUCCGAUGAAAAACAACAUGAAAAUGAGGAACAAAUGGAAGAAGAUGAAAAUCAUAAUAUAGAAAUAAAAGCUUCAGAAACUGAUGCUUCUGCUGAAGAAGAAGAAGAACUUGAAGAAGAAAGUGAAGAAGUAAAUGAACAAGAAAACGAGGAAGAAGAAGAAAAUGAAGUAGAAGGAGAAGAAGAAGAUGAUGAAGUAGAAGGAGGAGAAGAUGAAGAUGAAGGAGGCACAGAAGAAGACGAGGAAGAAGGUGAAGAAGAAGAGGAAGCAACUGAAAAUGAAUCAAAUGAAGUAGAAAAUGAUGCUUUUGAAGAUAAAGAAGAAAUAGAAUGGAAAUAUGAAAAUGAAAAAUCUGAGGAAGAAGAAGAAGAAGAAGAAGAAGAAGAAGAAGAAGAAAUGAAUCCACAAAACUUUGAUGAUACUGAUGUAUUAGAAGAAAUUUAUGGCAUUAGUAAAGAAAAAAAUUCAGAUGAAAAAGAUGUAUUAUCUGAGGAAGAUAAUCGGUUUGAUGAACCAUUAGAAAUGCCAACAAAAGAAGAUGUAUUUGAGAGGUUUUUAGACAUUCCUGGUAUUAAUGAAAUUACUGAUGAUAAUAUAGAACCUUUAGAGGAGGUAGAAAAUGUAGAAGUUGAAGAAUAUGUUAAUGAUGUAGAUAUUAAACCGGAAGUAGAGGAAGAAGUAGAAGAAGAAUCUGCUAGUGUGACAAUGAAGUUUGGAGUUGGUGUGGCACUUGUUGUUGCUGCACAUUUUGUCCUUGUGAAACGGUGGAAUCAGGAAGUUAACUUUGUUCAAAAUCAGUCUAAAAUAAUCGAAUCUGAAAAAAGAGAUAUAGAAGAACAAGUACACUUAACAAAAAGGGUAUCUGAAAUAGCACGGAAUGAAAAACAAAAUAAAGAAAAUGAUCAAAAGGAAGAAAAGAAAGUGAAUAAGGAAGAAAUCGUAGAACGAUUUAAAUAUGAAAAAGAUCAAGAGAAACAAGAGGAAGAGGAGUAUCAGGAAGAAGAGGAAGAAGAAGAGGAGUAUGAGGUAGAAGAAGAGGAAGAGGAAGCAGAUGAAGAUGAAGAAAAGGAAAUAAUGAAAAAAGAAAGAAGAGAGAAUAAGAGAAGUAAAGAAACAGAUAAUCAAAUUGAAGAUGAAGAAAAGGUAGAAAUUGAUCUGAACAAGGAACAGGAAUAUGUUACAGAAGAGGAAGAAGAGGAAACGGAAGAAGACGAAGAAGAAGAGGAUGAGGAUGAGGAGGAGGAGGAGGAGGAAGAGGAGGAGGAGGAGGAGGAAGAAGAGGAGGAUGUUGAAAAUUUUGAUGACUCGGAAUUAAUUGCUAAACUAGAAGCUAAAUAUGGAAAACUACCAUCUAAAUAGGGUAAUGAAGAAAGCACAAAUAAGUAUCACUUCUUUCACUACAUUUGAUAGAAUCUAUGGAUACAGUAGCAGGACUUGCAAUCACAACCAAAGUUAAUGAUAAAGUAAAAGCAGAUCAUGUAAUUAACAAAAAUGAUGUAAAG